AUACGUAGGGUGCAAGCGUUAAUCGGAAUUACUGGGCGUAAAGCGUGCGCAGGCGGUUUUGUAAGACAGAGGUGAAAUCCCCGGGCUCAACCUGGGGAAUGCCUUUUUGACUGCAAGGACAGAGUUCGGCCGAGGGGGAUGGAAUUUCGCGUGUAGAAGUGAAAUGCGUAGAUAUGCGGAGGAACACCGAUGGCGAAGGCAAUCCCCUGGGCCUGUACUGACGCUCAUGCACGAAAGCGUGGGGAGCAAACAGGAUUAGAUACCCUGGUAGUCCACGCCCUAAACGAUGUCAACUGGUUGUUGGGUCUUCAUUGACUCAGUAACGAAGCUAACGCGUGAAGUUGACCGCCUGGGGAGUACGGCCGCAAGGUUGAAACUCAAAUGAAUUGACGGGG
This 395-nucleotide ribosomal RNA is filed under the name uncultured bacterium. RNAcentral describes it as "partial 16S ribosomal RNA". It matches the Rfam family "Bacterial small subunit ribosomal RNA", at positions 523 to 918 of the family's 1533-position model. The record is from RNAcentral.